This 258-nucleotide ribosomal RNA is filed under the name uncultured bacterium. Its description in RNAcentral is "partial small subunit ribosomal RNA". It matches the Rfam family "Bacterial small subunit ribosomal RNA", at positions 26 to 285 of the family's 1533-position model. The record is from RNAcentral.
AGGACGAACGCUGGCGGCGUGCUUAACACAUGCAAGUCGAGCGGUAAGGCCUCUUCGGGGGUACACGAGCGGCGAACGGGUGAGUAACACGUGGGUGACCUGCCCUCAGCUCUGGGAUAAGCCUGGGAAACUGGGUCUAAUACUGGAUAUGACUGCGCAUCGCAUGGUGUGUGGUGGAAAGUUUUUUCGGCUGGGGGAUGGGCCCGCGGCCUAUCAGCUUGUUGGUGGGGUGAUGGCCUACCAAGGCGACGACGGGUA